RNAcentral lists this unclassified non-coding RNA (337 nucleotides) under soil metagenome. Its description in RNAcentral is "partial contains 5.8S ribosomal RNA, internal transcribed spacer 2, and large subunit ribosomal RNA". The stretch from base 3 to 120 matches the Rfam family "5.8S ribosomal RNA", at positions 37 to 154 of the family's 154-position model. The record is from RNAcentral.
GCUGAAGAACGUAGCGAAAUGCGAUAAGUAGUGUGAAUUGCAGAAUUCAGUGAAUCAUCGAAUCUUUGAACGCACAUUGCGCCCCUUGGUAUUCCAUGGGGCAUGCCUGUUCGAGCGUCAUUUGUACCUUCAAGCUCUGCUUGGUGUUGGGUGUUUGUCUCGCCUCUGCGUGUAGACUCGCCUCAAAACAAUUGGCAGCCGGCGUAUUGAUUUCGGAGCGCAGUACAUCUCGCGCUUUGCACUCAUAACGACGACGUCCAAAAGUACAUUUUUACACUCUUGACCUCGGAUCAGGUAGGGAUACCCGCUGAACUUAAGCAUAUCAAUAAGCGGAGGA